RNAcentral lists this long non-coding RNA (455 nucleotides) under Bos taurus (domestic cattle). RNAcentral's name for it is "long non-coding RNA NONBTAT016031". The record is from RNAcentral. Lineage: Eukaryota; Metazoa; Chordata; Mammalia; Artiodactyla; Bovidae.
AAGUUUAUUAAAUAAUAUGUACAGCCAAUGUAGUAAUUCAACAUCUAUUUGUCAAAUUGAUCCACUGCAUAAAGAAAAAUAGAUGAACAGAAAAAUCUGUGUCUGCAUGGUACAUGCUCUUGGUGUGUAAUUUAAAUGGCAAUACUUUAAAUUAAUUGGUUAUAUAUAAUGUCAGUUAUUUUCUUUCAGAAUAUGAUCUUUUUUGUAGUAACUUAGCAAUAGGACUUAAUACUACUGCAGAUAAAUAGGACUGCUAAAAAAAAAAAAAAAGAAAUAAGAAAAAAACACUAUAACUGAGAAAACAGUUACUUUCUCUCCCAGAAAGAAUGAUUAUUUAAUUAUAACACUUUACAAUGGUAUUUUUGUGCUAAAAAUCUGCAGGUACGUUUUUUUGGAAUUCCUUCAUUUAAAUAUGCAAAAAACUUCAUGACUUCCUUAUUAUACCCCCCUCCCCU